CAGCCGUAAACUAUGCGCGUUAGGUGUAUCGGUGACCACGAGUCACCGAGGUGCCGAAGGGAAACCGUGAAACGUGCCGCCUGGGAAGUACGGUCGCAAGGCUGAAACUUAAAGGAAUUGGCGGGGGAGGCACCACAACGGGUGGAGCCUGCGGUCUAAUUGGACUCAACGCCGGGAAGCUCACCGGAUAAGACAGCGGAAUGAUUGCCGGGCUGAAGACUCUACUUGAUGAUCUGAGAGGAGGUGCAUGGCGUCAGUGACU
Molecule: ribosomal RNA, 262 nt
Filed under: uncultured archaeon
Lineage: Archaea
Description: partial 16S ribosomal RNA
Rfam family: Archaeal small subunit ribosomal RNA
Source: RNAcentral